Long non-coding RNA from Octopus bimaculoides (California two-spot octopus), 349 nucleotides. Lineage: Eukaryota; Metazoa; Mollusca; Cephalopoda; Octopoda; Octopodidae. The record is from RefSeq and is a predicted model, not a curated record.
AGCCAUUUUGACUGCAGCCAUGCUGGAUAAAUAACAAAAUGAAUGGAAAGCGAACCGUCAUUGAAGGAAUUAGUAGGACGAAUCGACCUCAGGAUGGAUUUUGGAGGCCUGGUACUCAUUCUGUCGGUUUCGUUUGUCGAACCGCCAUUGACAUGCAGCCAUAUUGGACACCGCCUAGAAAAGUGUCGACGUCGAAAUCAGCCUGUAGCACGUAAUCGACUUUUUAGUCUGGUAGCUAAGUUAUCGACUCUUUUGCCGAACCGCUAUGUUAUUGAGAAGUAAACACAUUAACACUAGUUGUCAAACGGUGGAUGAUGAACACCUCUAAUACUAACACACACACACACAA